GGUGGCUCAGUUGUAGAGUGCUUGCCUUGCAUGCAUGAGGCCCUGGGUUCAAUUCCUCAGUACCA
RNAcentral lists this transfer RNA (65 nucleotides) under Dipodomys ordii (Ord's kangaroo rat). It matches the Rfam family "tRNA". From Rfam's summary of the family: Transfer RNA (tRNA) molecules are approximately 80 nucleotides in length. Their secondary structure includes four short double-helical elements and three loops (D, anti-codon, and T loops). Lineage: Eukaryota; Metazoa; Chordata; Mammalia; Rodentia; Heteromyidae. The record is from Rfam by way of RNAcentral.